Molecule: ribosomal RNA, 526 nt
Filed under: uncultured bacterium
Lineage: Bacteria
Description: partial 16S ribosomal RNA
Rfam family: Bacterial small subunit ribosomal RNA
Source: RNAcentral
UGGGGAAUUUUGGACAAUGGGCGAAAGCCAUGAUCCAGCAAUGCCGCGUGUGUGAAGAAGGCCUUCGGGUUGUAAAGCACUUUUGUCCGGAAAGAAAUCCUUGGCUCUAAUACAGUCGGGGGAUGACGGUACCGGAAGAAUAAGCACCGGCUAACUACGUGCCAGCAGCCGCGGUAAUACGUAGGGUGCAAGCGUUAAUCGGAAUUACUGGGCGUAAAGCGUGCGCAGGCGGUUUGCUAAGACCGAUGUGAAAUCCCCGGGCUCAACCUGGGAACUGCAUUGGUGACUGGCAGGCUAGAGUAUGGCAGAGGGGGGUAGAAUUCCACGUGUAGCAGUGAAAUGCGUAGAGAUGUGGAGGAAUACCGAUGGCGAAGGCAGCCCCCUGGCCAAGUACUGACGCUCAUGCACGAAAGCGUGGGGAGCAAACAGGAUUAGAUACCCUGGUAGUCCACGCCCUAAACGAUGUCAACUAGUUGUUGGGGAUUCAUUUCCUUAGUAACGUAGCUAACGCGUGAAGUUGACCGCC